Molecule: ribosomal RNA, 427 nt
Filed under: uncultured bacterium
Lineage: Bacteria
Description: partial 16S ribosomal RNA
Rfam family: Bacterial small subunit ribosomal RNA
Source: RNAcentral
UGGGGAAUAUUGGACAAUGGGCGAAAGCCUGAUCCAGCCAUGCCGCGUGUGUGAAGAAGGUCUUCGGAUUGUAAAGCACUUUAAGUUGGGAGGAAGGGCAUUAACCUAAUACGUUAGUGUUUUGACGUUACCGACAGAAUAAGCACCGGCUAACUCUGUGCCAGCAGCCGCGGUAAUACAGAGGGUGCAAGCGUUAAUCGGAAUUACUGGGCGUAAAGCGCGUGUAGGUGGUUUGUUAAGUUGGAUGUGAAAGCCCCGGGCUCAACCUGGGAACUGCAUCCAAAACUGGCAAGCUAGAGUACGGUAGAGGGUGGUGGAAUUUCCUGUGUAGCGGUGAAAUGCGUAGAUAUAGGAAGGAACACCAGUGGCGAAGGCGACCACCUGGACUGAUACUGACACUGAGGUGCGAAAGCGUGGGGAGCAAACA